Molecule: ribosomal RNA, 525 nt
Filed under: uncultured eukaryote
Lineage: Eukaryota
Description: SSU rRNA
Rfam family: Eukaryotic small subunit ribosomal RNA
Source: RNAcentral
CAGUCAUAUGCUUGUCUCAAAGAUUAAGCCAUGCAUGUCUAAGUAUAAGCAAUCUAUACGGUGAAACUGCGAAUGGCUCAUUAAAUCAGUUAUCGUUUAUUUGAUAGUACCUUACUACUUGGAUAACCGUGGUAAUUCUAGAGCUAAUACAUGCUAAAAACCCCGACUUCGGAAGGGGUGUAUUUAUUAGAUAAAAAACCAAUGCCCUUCGGGGCUCCUUGGUGAUUCAUAAUAACUUAACGAAUCGCAUGGCCUUGUGCCGGCGAUGGUUCAUUCAAAUUUCUGCCCUAUCAACUUUCGAUUGUAAGGUAGUGGCUUACAAUGGUUUCAACGGGUAACGGGGAAUUAGGGUUCUAUUCCGGAGAGGGAGCCUGAGAAACGGCUACCACAUCCAAGGAAGGCAGCAGGCGCGCAAAUUACCCAAUCCCGACACGGGGAGGUAGUGACAAUAAAUACUGAUACAGGGCUCUUUUGGGUCUUGUAAUUGGAAUGAGUACAAUUUAAAUCCCUUAACGAGGAACAAUU